UGUUAAGGUCAAAACAUAUAUAUUGUGUUAAACAAUGGAUCAUUCGAUGAAUACAGAUAUUUCAAACGCCAAGUCAGAUCAUUAAAGUUCGUAAAGAAAGACCUGAUUGAUUAUAGAAAUUGCCCUCUUUGCCCACAAACUGGUGAGUUAGGUGUGGCCAUUCAUUCCAUGGAUGCUCGCUUUGGUCUAACUUGUAAAAAGUUGGAAGGGAAUAGUUUUGCUGUCCCAAACCAUGGCUGCCUUAAGUUUGCUGAUCAGGAUGAAGUAGAUGAUUUUGUUGAUCAUUAUAGCAAGUCUAAUAACAAAGUAGGACAGAGUUGUCAGAUAUUUAAGGCAGGAGAAGUUAGAGAAGCACUUCACUCCAAAGGAAAAAAUCAACUGUUUGAUGAAAAAGUGGUGUUUGGUAGUUGUUGCAGUCGGCAUUCACACCCUUGACGAUUUUUCAGCACUAAAUAUGGCGAAAGAAUUUCGUAUUUGCUGUUCCUAUUGCAAAGCAUUUUAAAAGAUGCUGACCAAAGUCCUGGUGUUGAUUUAAUAAUAAUGUAUAUUGGAUGUGUAUUAUCAUCAUAUUUAAAGGCAAACAAGAGGCAUGACAUUUUGUCAAGUGUCAUUUUCGGUGCCGAUAUUUCAUUGUUAUGGACACAAGGCUUCAUGCCAGUAAAAUCAUUAACGUCGAAGCUUAAAAAUGUCUACAACUUAAAAUUAAAACGCAACAAGAAAUGAAGGAUUUAUUUAGCGAACUACCUGUGACGUACGAUGCUGAGAUUGUUUGUCAGUGGGAGGCCAGAGAGAAGGAAAUUAUGUCAAGAGUCAACCCAGAACAUAAAGAAACCACGGAGAACUGGAAAGUGAGUGCUACAUCAUUCGGAUGUUUUGAAGAAAACCAGGAAAUAACUCUGAAGAUUACUCAAUUCAUCAGAUGUCGAAAAACUGUACCAGUUUCAAAACAUUAUAAAGAUAUUGAACGAAAGCAUUCUGUAAACGAAAGAUGGAAACCUGGUCAUCCUAGUUGUGAUGUCGUUGCAUUGCAAGUCAUACAAAGAAAACGAAAAGAUACUAUCGGAGCUUUACAUGGACUUUCCAUCGAAAGAUGGUCACGAACAAGAUGAAAUUAACAAUUGAGAAACACAAUGCUGCCAUUGAUUCUCUUCGUGAUUUUAUAAACAGUUUACCCGAUCGUCUGACAUUUGACAAAACGAAAGAUCCUACACCUGACCUUUAUGAGGGAUUUGAGUCUGGUGAGGAUGACAUUCUAGGGGAAUCCUCGGUCCCAGUAUACACAAA
Molecule: RNA transcript, 1284 nt
Organism: Xenia sp. Carnegie-2017
Lineage: Eukaryota; Metazoa; Cnidaria; Anthozoa; Malacalcyonacea; Xeniidae
Exons: 12
Source: RefSeq, a predicted model, not a curated record